This 468-nucleotide ribosomal RNA is filed under the name uncultured bacterium. RNAcentral's name for it is "partial 16S ribosomal RNA". It matches the Rfam family "Bacterial small subunit ribosomal RNA", at positions 28 to 507 of the family's 1533-position model. The record is from RNAcentral.
GACGAACGCUGGCGGCGUGCUUAACACAUGCAAGUCGAACGGAAAGGCCCUGCUUUUGUGGGGUGCUCGAGUGGCGAACGGGUGAGUAACACGUGAGUAACCUUCCCUUGACUUUGGGAUAACUUCAGGAAACUGGUGCUAAUACCGGCUAGGAGCUCCUGCUGCAUGGUGGGGGUUGGAAAGUUUCGGCGGUUGGGGAUGGACUCGCGGCUUAUCAGCUUGUUGGUGGGGUAGUUGCUUACCAAGGCUUUGACGGGUAGCCGGCCUGAGAGGGGGGACGGGCACAUGGGGACUGAGAGACGGCCCAGACUCCUACGGGAGGCAGCAGUGGGGAAUAUUGCACAAUGGGCGGAAGCCUGAUGCAGAAACGCCGCGAGCGGGAUGAAGGCCUUCGGGUUGUAAACCGCUGUAGCCUGUGACGAAGCGUGAGUGACGGUAAUGGGUAAAGAAGCACCGGCUAACUACGUG